Long non-coding RNA from Oncorhynchus keta (chum salmon), 883 nucleotides. RefSeq lists it as uncharacterized. NCBI's taxonomy places the organism in Eukaryota, Metazoa, Chordata, Actinopteri, Salmoniformes, Salmonidae. The record is from RefSeq and is a predicted model, not a curated record. The transcript is spliced from 3 exons.
AUACACCCACAAUCCUCUCCUCACUCCACCACACAUAGCAGCUGUCACACACAGAGGGUUGGGCUUGUUACGGGGGUGGUGUGUGUGUGUGUGUGUGUCAUGGCAUGUUAAAAUACCCAGGGUUUGACGUCACUAUCUGACAAACAACUCUGCCUCUAAACCAAACUACACACACAGAUCAAUGGUAGAAUUUCACCAGAGAUAAAUACCCUUCAUUCUGGAGAGGAGAAGGUGGGUCACUAGAGAUAAAUACCCUUCAUUCUGGAGAGGAGAAGGUGGGUCACUAGAGAUAAAUACCCUUCAUUCUGGAGAGGAGAAGGUGGGUCACUAGAGAUAAAUACCCUUCAUUCUGGAGAGGAGAAGGUGGGUCACUAGAGAUAAAUACCCUUCAUUCUGGAGAGGAGAAGGUGGGUCACUAGAGAUAAAUACCCUUCAUUCUGGAGAGGAGAAGGUGGGUCACUAGAGAUAAAUACCCUUCAUUCUGGAGAGGAGAAGGUGGGUCACUAGAGAUAAAUACCCUUCAUUCUGGAGAGGAGAAGGUGGGUCACUAGAGAUAAAUACCCUUCAUUCUGGAGAGGAGAAGGUGGGUCACUAGAGAUAAAUACCCUUCAUUCUGGAGAGGAGAAGGUGGGUCACUAGAGAUAAAUACCCUUCAUUCUGGAGAGGAGAAGGUGGGUCACUAGAGAUAAAUACCCUUCAUUCUGGAGAGGAGAAGGUGGGUCACUAGAGAUAAAUACCCUUCAUUCUGGAGAGGAGAAGGUGGGUCACCAGAGAUAAAUACCCUUCAUUCUGGAGAGGAUCCCCACUAGAGAUAAAUACCCUUCAUUCUGGAGAGGAGAAGGUGGGUCACUAGAGAUAAAUACCCUUCAUUCUGGAGAGGAGA